UACGUAGGGUGCAGGCGUUAAUCGGAAUUACUGGGCGUAAAGCGUGCGCAGGCGGUUUGCUAAGAGAGAUGUGAAAUCCCCGGGCUUAACCUGGGAACUGCGUUUCUAACUGGCAGGCUAGAGUGUGGCAGAGGGGGGUGGAAUUCCGCGUGUAGCAGUGAAAUGCGUAGAGAUGUGGAGGAACACCGAUGGCGAAGGCAGCCCCCUGGGCUAACACUGACGCUCAUGCACGAAAGCGUGGGGAGCAAACAGG
This 253-nucleotide ribosomal RNA is filed under the name uncultured bacterium. Its description in RNAcentral is "partial 16S ribosomal RNA". It matches the Rfam family "Bacterial small subunit ribosomal RNA", at positions 524 to 776 of the family's 1533-position model. The record is from RNAcentral.